GAAACAGUUGCUAAGACUGGAUAGGAAAUUAAAAGGCAUCUUUUAAUUUUUAAAAGACCUUUUUCGGAAGGUAUGCUUAAAGAGGGGCUUGCGCCACAUUAGUUAGUUGGUAAGGUAAAGGCUUACCAAGACGAUGAUGUGUAGCUGGACUGAGAGGUUGAACAGCCACAUUGGGACUGAGACACGGCCCAAACUCCUACGGGAGGCAGCAGUAAGGAAUUUUUGGCAAUGGAGGAAACUCUGACCGAGCGACGCCGCGUGAACAAUGAAGUACUUCGGUAUGUAAAGUUCUUUUAUUGAAAAAGAAAAAAUAGUGGAAAAACUAUCUUGACAUUAUUCAAUGAAUAAGCCCCGGCUAAUUAUGUGCCAGCAGCCGCGGUAAUACAUAAGGGGCGAGCGUUAUCCGGAAUUAUUGGGCGUAAAGGGUGCGUAGGCGGUUUGAUAAGUCUAUAGUUUAAUUGCAGUGCUUAACGCUGUACCGCUAUAGAAACUGUCUGACUAGAGUUAGAUAGAGGCAAGCGGAAUUCCAUGUGUAGCGGUAAAAUGCGUAAAUAUAUGGAGGAACACCAGAGGCGUAGGCGGCUUGCUGGGUCUUAACUGACGCUGAGGCACGAAAGCGUGGGGAGCAAACAGGAUUAUAUACCCUGGUAGUCCACGCCGUAAACGAUGAGUACUAAGUGUCGGGUUUUGGCUCGGUACUGAAGUUAACACAUUAAGUACUCCGCCUGAGUAGUACGUACGCAAGUAUGAAACUUAAAGGAAUUGACGGGACCCCGCACAAGCGGUGGAUCAUGUUGUUUAAUUCGAAGAUACACGAAAAACCUUACCAGGUCUUGACAUAAUUUUGCGACAUUAUAGAAAUAUAAUGAAGGUUAUCAGAAUUACAGGUGGUGCAUGGUUGUCGUCAGCUCGUGUCGUGAGAUGUUAGGUUAAGUCCUAAAACGAGCGCAACCCUUGUCGUUAGUUGCGACCACAUAAUGGUGAGCACUUUAGCGAGACUGCCAAUGAAAAAUUGGAGGAAGGUGAGGAUUACGUCAAAUCAUCAUGCCCCUUAUGAUCUGGGCUACAAACGUGAUACAAUGGCUUUUACAAAGAGUAGCUACAACGUGAGUUUUUAGCCAAUCUCAAAAAAACAGUCUCAGUUCGGAUUGAAGUCUGCAACUCGACUUCAUGAAGUUGGAAUCGCUAGUAAUCGCGAAUCAGCAUGUCGCGGUGAAUACGUUCUCGGGGUUUGUACACACCGCCCGUCA
This 1250-nucleotide ribosomal RNA is filed under the name Candidatus Phytoplasma phoenicium. RNAcentral describes it as "bacterial SSU rRNA". It matches the Rfam family "Bacterial small subunit ribosomal RNA", at positions 153 to 1399 of the family's 1533-position model. The record is from RNAcentral. Lineage: Bacteria; Bacillati; Mycoplasmatota; Mollicutes; Acholeplasmatales; Acholeplasmataceae.